CAGCGUGCCCCGGGGCGAGUGGAAGAGGGAAGAUGGCUGAAUACCUGGCCUCCAUCUUCGGCACCGAGAAAGACAAGGUUAACUGCUCUUUUUACUUUAAGAUCGGGGCUUGUCGGCACGGAGACAGGUGUUCCCGCCUCCACAACAGACACACCUUCAGCCAGACCAUCGUGCUGCUGAAUCUGUAUCGGAACCCCCAGAACACGGCCCAGUCGGCAGACGGCUCGCACUGUCAUGUCAGCGAUGUGGAAGUGCAGGAGCAUUAUGACAAUUUCUUUGAGGAGGUCUUCAUGGAACUGGAGGAGAAGUAUGGGGAGAUUGAGGAGAUGAAUGUUUGUGACAACCUUGGAGACCACCUGGUCGGCAACGUCUAUGUCAAGUUCCGGCGGGAGGAGGACGCCGAGCGGGCCGUGGGGGAGCUGAACAAUCGCUGGUUCAAUGGCCGGGCCGAGCUGUCCCCAGUCACCGACUUCCGCGAGUCCUGCUGCCGUCAGUACGAGAUGGGAGAGUGCACACGCGGCGGGUUCUGCAACUUCAUGCACCUGCGGCCCAUAUCCCGGCAGCUGCGCCGGCAGCUCUACGGGCGGAGCCAGCGCGGGCGGGGCCCAUCCCCCUCGCGUUCCUACGACCGGCCCCGUGGCAAGAAACGCCAGCGCUCGCCCGACCAUCGCUAUGGACGCUUCUGACCUCUCCCCAGGCUCCUUGCUUCACCUAGCCCACCCCAGCCACCAGUCACCUGACCUGCCAUAGACCCAGCGGAAGUGCGGCUGCUGGAGUCCCCACGCUACGUCUGACCUUCCCGCCGAACCUGGUGCUUCCUUUGGCUAAGCAGGACGCUGCCCAUCUCUGUGCCUGGUUAUUUACCCAGCUGUAGAGCGGCACAACCAGUGAAUCAGCGUCUGAAUUUUGACCUUUUUAACGAUGUUAGAAAACCGGGCCUGCUGCGUUUCCUUGUUUCUGCAUCCAUGCUUUUUACGCUGGGCUCAUGUUACGCUGCCAAGUUACUCCUGGGGGAAUUCUGCGCUACUGCGUGUGCUCAUAAUUAACAAGUCCUGCAGAUUUUUAAAUUUUUGAGCAGAAAAAAGCUUCUGCUGAAAUGUUGCUGCAGUUCUGACUUUUGCCCACCAUAGGGCACUGUGGCGCUGGGACAAAGCUGCAGCUCCCCACCAGUGAAGGAAGAGUAAGCGCCUGCCUUCUUCACAGUGCCUGUCAGGCCAGAAGACAGGGGCUAUGGGGAGACAGACAGCGUGGGGUGCUGGGGGGUCAGAUGGGCUCACAGGAGCUAAUGGGGAGGACAGAUUGGGGCAGGAGCUCAAUGGGAAUGGAGGCGCAGGGCCAUGCGGGGGAGGGAGGUGCAGAGACAUAUGGUGAUGAGGGAGGGGUGCAGAGCUACAUAG
Trachemys scripta elegans is the source of this 1397-nucleotide RNA transcript. It is a transcript of the gene named U2 small nuclear RNA auxiliary factor 1 like 4, with no coding region annotated. The record is from RefSeq and is a predicted model, not a curated record. The transcript has 9 exons. Lineage: Eukaryota; Metazoa; Chordata; Testudines; Emydidae.